UCUCCGUAGGUGAACCUGCGGAGGGAUCAUUACUGAGUGUAAAAACUCCAAACCCAUGUGAACUUACCACUUGUUGCCUCGGCGCAAGCGUUCUGCCUCCUCCUCGGAGGGGCGGGAACUGCGCCGGUGGACUACUAAACUCUUGUUAAUAUUGGCAUUCUGAAUAAAAAACUUAAUAAGUUAAAACUUUCAACAACGGAUCUCUUGGUUCUGGCAUCGAUGAAGAACGCAGC
This 233-nucleotide unclassified non-coding RNA is filed under the name uncultured fungus. Its description in RNAcentral is "sequence contains ITS1, 5.8S rRNA gene". The stretch from base 185 to 233 matches the Rfam family "5.8S ribosomal RNA", at positions 1 to 49 of the family's 154-position model. The record is from RNAcentral. Lineage: Eukaryota; Fungi.